This 250-nucleotide ribosomal RNA is filed under the name uncultured prokaryote. RNAcentral describes it as "partial 16S ribosomal RNA". It matches the Rfam family "Bacterial small subunit ribosomal RNA", at positions 524 to 773 of the family's 1533-position model. The record is from RNAcentral.
UACGUAGGGGGCAAGCGUUAUCCGGAAUUACUGGGUGUAAAGGGAGCGCAGACGGCUCUAUAAGUCUGAAGUGAAAACCUUAGGCUUAACCAAAGGCAUGCUUUGGAAACUAUAGAGCUUGAGUACCGGAGGGGUAAGCGGAAUUCCUGGUGUAGCGGUGAAAUGCGUAGAUAUCAGGAAGAACACCGGUGGCGAAGGCGGCUUACUGGACGGUAACUGACGUUGAGGCUCGAAAGCGUGGGGAGCAAAC